Molecule: ribosomal RNA, 767 nt
Filed under: Setobaudinia kessneri
Lineage: Eukaryota; Metazoa; Mollusca; Gastropoda; Stylommatophora; Camaenidae
Description: partial 16S ribosomal RNA
Source: RNAcentral
AUUAAAAUAAGUGCGUGCAAACUACGCGAAACUAUGUGAGCUAAUUUUACUUAUAUGUCAUGUAGUAUAAUGACAGACCAAAGAAAAUUUAGGGGUGAAAGGCUUUACAAACAUAGUGAUAUCUCGAUUUUCUCGAAAUGUAUUAGUACAUUUACAGAUUUAAAGCUAUAAGGUUUUAAAUAUCAACAAAUUUUGAUCACUUUAUUGUAGGAUGUAAGAGUCUAUACAUAAGUUAACAUAACAUACAUAUCAUAGUAUUGUUGGACAUAGAGAAAUAUAUAAUAAUUUAAAUCAUAUCAAUAAUGUUACUAUAAGUAUUAAGAAGAUGCAAAUAGUGAACUCGGCAUUAAGUUUUCAACUGUUUAUCAAAAACAUAGCUGCGUGGAACUACACGCAGUAUUUUCUGCUCAAUGAAUAUUAAAUAGCCGCAGUACACUGACUGUGCAAAGGUAGCGUAAUCAUUUGUCUUUUAAUUGGAGUCACGUAUGAAUGAAUACAUGGGGACUUUCUUUACCAUUGGCAACAUUAGAAGUUAAUCAAUGAGUGAAAAAGCUCAUAUAAAAAUAAAAGACGAGAAGACCCUAGAAAUUUAUGUGAAUAUUUUGUUGGGGCAACAUAGUAACACAAAACUUACUGUAUAUAUAUGAAAUAAAAUAGAUAACGCAAAUUACUCUAGGGAUAACAGCAUAAUAUUUAAAUGUUUGUGACCUCGAUGUUGGAUUAGGGAGUUAUAGUUCAGAAGACUAUUAACCACGCUCUGUUCGCGC